GAUGAACGCUAGCUACAGGCUUAACACAUGCAAGUCGAGGGGAAACGGCAUUAAGUGCUUGCACUUUUUGGACGUCGACCGGCGCACGGGUGAGUAACGCGUAUCCAACCUUCCCAUGACUAAGGGAUAACCUGCCGAAAGGCAGACUAAUACCUUAUGGUCUUCACUGACGGCAUCAGAUGUGAAGUAUAAGAUUUAUCGGUUAUGGAUGGGGAUGCGUCUGAUUAGCUUGUUGGCGGGGUAACGGCCCACCAAGGCAACGAUCAGUAGGGGUUCUGAGAGGAAGGUCCCCCACAUUGGAACUGAGACACGGUCCAAACUCCUACGGGAGGCAGCAGUGAGGAAUAUUGGUCAAUGGGCGAGAGCCUGAACCAGUCCAAGUAGCGUGCAGGAUGACGGCCCUAUGGGUUGUAAACUGCUUUUGUAUGGGGAUAAAGUCAAUCACGUGUGAUUGUUGGCAGGUACCA
Molecule: ribosomal RNA, 467 nt
Filed under: Prevotella sp. oral taxon 298
Lineage: Bacteria; Pseudomonadati; Bacteroidota; Bacteroidia; Bacteroidales; Prevotellaceae
Description: bacterial SSU rRNA
Rfam family: Bacterial small subunit ribosomal RNA
Source: RNAcentral